Molecule: long non-coding RNA, 750 nt
Organism: Gymnodraco acuticeps
Lineage: Eukaryota; Metazoa; Chordata; Actinopteri; Perciformes; Bathydraconidae
Exons: 4
Source: RefSeq, a predicted model, not a curated record
CACAUGACCGGUGACCGAGUAAACAGGAAGCCAUAAAAAGUUUGCCGUCAGUUCAAGAAAGUCUCUCUUGGCUGCUUGUCACUGGUCUUCUCCCUCUCACAAAGGGCGAGUGCAAGACGAGAGUUUACCAUUGACGGAGGAAAACUCUCCCGACAGGCACAAGACCGGAGCUUAAUGUACACAACCGGCCCAGCUACCCGGGAUAUUAAGUGACCAUUUCCCCGGCAGGAUUAAGCCGAGUUGGAAACCUACUCUGUGGAAGUUGCGCUCCUCUGCGGCGUAGGCCUGGGCCCGGGUGGAACGCUGCCUGCCUUCAGUGUAGGGACUGCACGGUGUGACACUUUAUUUUCUGUAUGCUAAAUAUCUCACUGUUAUUAUUUUAUAGAGAUUGUGGUUUAAAUAUUGCAUGCUUAUGUUGUUUUGGUGUGUGGCUUUUCUUGUUUUUGUCCCUCACGAUUAGCAGGCACUGCAACCCAGCGGACCGGGCCUGCCCAACUGAGGAGGGUAACUUAUAUAUGUAUUGAAUUGUAUUUGCCAUUUUUAUACUGGACAUGAAUUGACAUUUUAAACUGUUUCCAAACACUUAUUAAAUAAAGCUGUGUUAUGUUUUUGGAAUUCAUGCCUCUGUCAUAAUUGGACCGAUUAAGGGAAGCUUUAAACAAAGCGAUCCACGACUUACAUUUAGGGUCCACGGGUUCCUCCUGCCCCUUAGCAGGAGGUGGCGUUGUCAAGUACUAGCUUUACAUGUGG